UGAGUGGGGAGGGCUGACUGAGCAACAACAUCAGAGGAAGACAUUCAAGAUAUUUUCGAAGGAAGCUUCUAGGUUUUGGCGAGAAGAUAAAUAAGAGAGCUUGUUGGUGUAGCUUGAUUCCAUUUUCAAUGCUCUCCUAUUUAUAGAGUUUGAGGUGUUUCUUCGGUUUUGAUAUGAUGCUUCGAUUGUAAAGAAAGGUAGACAGAGAGUUCGUGGGAGUGAAUGGCUUUAAUGAAAACUUAAGAUUCCAUUGUCUAUGUUAAGAGAGAAACGUUGAACAGAGGGUAAGCAAGAGACGGAGAAAAAGAGAUAGGGGAAAGUAGAAAGAUGAG
Molecule: long non-coding RNA, 332 nt
Filed under: Brassica napus (rape)
Lineage: Eukaryota; Viridiplantae; Streptophyta; Magnoliopsida; Brassicales; Brassicaceae
Description: long non-coding RNA (BNAP_LNC015582)
Source: RNAcentral